This 509-nucleotide ribosomal RNA is filed under the name uncultured bacterium. RNAcentral describes it as "bacterial SSU rRNA". It matches the Rfam family "Bacterial small subunit ribosomal RNA", at positions 29 to 518 of the family's 1533-position model. The record is from RNAcentral.
AUGAACGCUGGCGGCGUGCUUAAUACAUGCAAGUCGAACGAAGAGCCCUUAACCGAAGAUGAUGACGUGCUUGCACUGAAUCUGAUUCACCUUAGGGUUACUGAGUGGCGGACGGGUGAGUAACGCGUGGGUAACCUGCCUUAGACAGGGGGAUAACAUCAAGAAAUUGGUGCUAAUACCGCAUAUGCUCACAGUAUCGCAUGAUACAGUGAGGAAAACUCCGGUGGUCUAAGAUGGACCCGCGUCUGAUUAGCUAGUUGGAGGGGUAACGGCCCACCAAGGCAACGAUCAGUAGCCGACUUGAGAGAGUGAUCGGCCACAUUGGGACUGAGACACGGCCCAAACUCCUACGGGAGGCAGCAGUAGGGAAUAUUGCACAAUGGGGGAAACCCUGAUGCAGCGACGCCGCGUGAAGGAUGAAGUAUUUCGGUAUGUAAACUUCUAUCAGCAAGGAAGAAAAUGACGGUACUUGACUAAGAAGCCCCGGCUAAAUACGUGCCAGCCGCGGC